UGCAAGUCGAGCGGACAGGUGGGAGCUUGCUCCCUGAUGUUAGCGGCGGACGGGUGAGUAACACGUGGGUAACCUGCCUGUAAGACUGGGAUAACUCCGGGAAACCGGGGCUAAUACCGGAUGGUUGUUUGAACCGCAUGGUUCAAACAUAAAAGGUGGCUUCGGCUACCACUUACAGAUGGACCCGCGGCGCAUUAGCUAGUUGGUGAGGUAACGGCUCACCAAGGCAACGAUGCGUAGCCGACCUGAGAGGGUGAUCGGCCACACUGGGACUGAGACACGGCCCAGACUCCUACGGGAGGCAGCAGUAGGGAAUCUUCCGCAAUGGACGAAAGUCUGACGGAGCAACGCCGCGUGAGUGAUGAAGGUUUUCGGAUCGUAAAGCUCUGUUGUUAGGGAAGAACAAGUACCGUUCGAACAGGGCGGUACCUUGACGGUACCUAACCAGAAAGCCACGGCUAACUACGUGCCAGCAGCCGCGGUAAUACGUAGGUGGCAAGCGUUUUCCGGAAUUAUUGGGCGUAAAGGGCUCGCAGGCGGUUUCUUAAGUCUGAUGUGAAAGCCCCCGGCUCAACCGGGGAGGGUCAUUGGAAACUGGGGAACUUGAGUGCAGAAGAGGAGAGUGGAAUUCCACGUGUAGCGGUGAAAAUGCGUAGAGAUGUGGAGGAACACCAGUGGCGAAGGCGACUCUCUGGUCUGUAACUGACGCUGAGGAGCGAAAGCGUGGGGAGCGAACAGGAUUAGAUACCCUGGAAGUCCCCGCCGUAAACGAAGAAUGCUAAGUGGUAGGGGGGUUU
This 797-nucleotide ribosomal RNA is filed under the name Bacillus spizizenii ATCC 6633 = JCM 2499. Its description in RNAcentral is "bacterial SSU rRNA". It matches the Rfam family "Bacterial small subunit ribosomal RNA", at positions 56 to 834 of the family's 1533-position model. The record is from RNAcentral. Lineage: Bacteria; Bacillati; Bacillota; Bacilli; Caryophanales; Bacillaceae.